GGUGAGAUAGCCUAGUGGUUUAAAGCGCUCCUCUGCUAAGGGAGUAUACAUUAUAAAUAGUAUCCGGGGUUCGAAUCCCCGUCUCACCU
The sequence is a transfer RNA, 89 nucleotides long. It matches the Rfam family "tRNA". From Rfam's summary of the family: Transfer RNA (tRNA) molecules are approximately 80 nucleotides in length. Their secondary structure includes four short double-helical elements and three loops (D, anti-codon, and T loops). Further hydrogen bonds mediate the characteristic L-shaped molecular structure. tRNAs have two regions of fundamental functional importance: the anti-codon, which is responsible for specific mRNA codon recognition, and the 3' end, to which the tRNAs corresponding amino acid is attached (by aminoacyl-tRNA synthetases). tRNAs cope with the degeneracy of the genetic code in two manners: having more than one tRNA (with a specific anti-codon) for a particular amino acid; and 'wobble' base-pairing, i.e. permitting non-standard base-pairing at the 3rd anti-codon position.